Long non-coding RNA from Alligator mississippiensis (American alligator), 3929 nucleotides. RefSeq lists it as uncharacterized. The record is from RefSeq and is a predicted model, not a curated record. NCBI's taxonomy places the organism in Eukaryota, Metazoa, Chordata, Crocodylia, Alligatoridae. The transcript has 2 exons.
CAGGACUGACUUGCCUAUUUCCAGUGAGUCUCUGCAUGGCUAGGAGACUGUAGUCUCCGGUACUUCUCACAGCUGUCCACAUCCAUCGCGCCCACUGCAUUGGGGACAAAAUUUGCCAUGAAGUGAAAGCCAUUUCAUCCCAAAGAAGCGCUCUACAAGUCGUCCUCAUACAGUACGUGGAAUCAAGGACUUCUUUGACUUAAUUAAAAUUAAAAGAAAACUCCAUACUGCCAAGCCAUAAAUUCUGUCUGCAUUCUUGAAGCUUUUGGAUUAUCUUAAGCAGCUCCCUGUCAGACGAAGUGCAAGUGCUCGACUUGCUUUCUGUUACAUUUGCUUAGAUCUCUCAGCAUGACGCCUGCGUGUGCUACAGGAGAAAAGAGCCCAACGUUGUUCCUGACAGCUCAAGGGGUUGGAUGGACCGGACUCUCUCCGACUAGCUCUGCAGAAUCCCAAUGAGAGCUCCGUCUCGCUAGCUAUGUUGUCUCAGCACACACAGCUGCUUGGACUCUGCCAUUAACUCCGCAACUAUUUGAUUACCACUACACCUGCGCAAAGCAAAAGGAUUUUAGCUAAGUAUUAUCCUCUUUUGUUUGGUUGAUGGGGUUUCCUUUUUCUUUUUUGUUUUAUUUUUGUUCACUGGCCAGGCCUCCUGUAAAUAAAGUUACCUCCUGCCAGGAGAAGUGCACAAAGAUUGAAGUAUUGCAUCUGUUUAUCCAUUAUUUUUAUGUCAGCUUCUCAACAUACAUUCUUUGUUUCAAAAGCUCAGAUCAUAUUUGUUCAAGACGCUAUGAGACGGAGUGAGUUAAUGGGAAGCAGCGGGAUGUAACUUUUUAAAUUACCUCCCUUCAAAUAUGCAAUCCCCUUUAAGUUUACAAUAAUGUAAAGACCAAAAAGGACUGUAAACAAAGAGCUUCUGUAAAUUGAAAUAGAGCCACAUUAUGAGUGUCCUUAAAACCAAAGCAAUGUUUUUCCUUUCCCUAACAAAUUUAGGAAACUUUAACCGCAAUCAAAACAUUUCAAGGGAAAACAGCUAUUGUUUGAUUAUUUUUAACAGAGAAAAAGUAAAUGUUUCCUAGCCUAAAACCUAAAAUUAGAAAGUUACAGUCUAAGAAAAGGACUGAAAAUUGCACAAUUAAGAGUACAGUAUAUCAAUUCCUUGAUGUUUUUUACACCACAGAAUGGAUUUUUUUUUCCUUCCCCUCAGACAUAUGAAUAUAAUUUUAUUACAUCAGGAUAAAUAUACAGUAGUCCUAAAACGGUAAUAGCAUACUAUUUUGAACAUUUAGUUUCUAGAUAUAUAAUAUACAGCACAAGUUAUAUGUAUUGUUUAUGUACAUAUACAAUUCUAUAUUAUAUACAGUGUGCUGAAAAAGUUUCCACACCUUAGUCACACUUAUUAUUAAUGUAUAAUUGUGCUUGAUGACACAUCUUCUAUUUUUAUGUUGGCACUGCUGAGAGGUUACUUCUGUUUGUUUCUCUUUAUAACAGAAGUACCAUAAUUGAGCUCAUGUUUUCUAUGGGUAAUGGGGCCACCACCCACACUCCAACUGUUGGAUGAAUCUGGAGGAAACACCAAGAAUUCAAAUGAACUUUUCUACAUAAGACAAAGGAAUGCCCUAUACUUAUGUCAAUGAAGAAUAAAAUAACCAUAAAAUUGUGAAAUCAAAUUCUGUUGCCUUCAUGAAUCUGCAGGCAGUUCUAAUGCCAUUGCUGAAGUUCAUAGUUUUCUUCAUUAUCAUCAUCAUCAGGAGCAGCAACAGAAUGACAGUGAAAAGAUCCCUGCCUCUAUCACUGCUGCUAAGCCAGUGAGCAACAUUGAAGCCAAUAAAUAACAUAUCAAAUUCAUUCUGAUGCUGCUUGUGAUAUUAUGACUAGCAACACAGUCGAGAAAUUAAGCUAUUCAGAGGGAAAUGGAAAGAAUGAUCUAAUACCAAAGAGGUCCUCCCCAUCGCAGCCAGCAGGUUGUGGAAGGAGCAGAGCUAUGGAUGCCUGUGCAUGCACAGACACACAGACGCAGACACACACACACACACACACACACACACACACACACACAGAGCUGGACUUCCAACAACUGCUAGGAAGUUUGGGAAGCGGCAAAAGAUAGAGUAAGAAAACACCAAUUCCUCCCAGUAGCCAAGAUGAUGCAGGAUUCCUUGAACUUUGGGAUGAAUGAUGGAGUCCAGACACAGGUCCAGACAUGAUCCAUGACAAGGGUUCAGGUCCUAUCUUUCAGUUCCAGCUUUGGAUGGAGCUCUCCCCAAAUGAACUCCCUGGUUUAGUUAUUUUUCCAAGUGAUAAAGGUUUAAGAUACUAAAUAAACAGAAGAAGAAGUGCACAUGCAGAAUUUUUUGGACCAGAGAGCAUGACAGGAAAUGCAAAAAUAACACUGGAUCAAACACAUCCUGGCAUGCACUAUAACAAAUAGGGAAAAUUCACUGUUCCCACUUUCAUCUGGAAACCUUGGGAUUUUGUCCAGCUAUUACACAAAUCUCAAGAGGAAAUAAUGAAGGAAAUGACUUGGGCUCGCUUCUCUGCCUCACCUUUGGCCUCAUGGAAACCCCUCCCUCCCCAUGAGAUACUUCACCCUCCCUUUUAAUAAUGAAACUGAAGUUUGCACUGGAAAAGCAAGUCAUCAGUUACUGCAGUCUCAGAAAUAAAGUUCAUUGUCAUUAUAGCUGCAAAAUAUUCAAAACGUGAGAAUUUCUCCUUUUAUUGUCUCUCCUCCCUGUUCACUCCAUUAAACUGCUACAAUCACUAGAAUGAAGUGAAUCCAGGUGUCACUUGGAGACAAGGUUCAGUAAAAAAUCUGCUACAUUGCUGAUAGGAUUUUCUCAGCCUUAUCAAGAAUGUUGUAUUUUUUCAGGCUUUUCUUGAAAUUUAUAGCCCAGCAAUAGAUACCAUGCAACUGUGCAUGUAGGACACAUCCAGCAAAGCAAAGAUAAAUGGUUAUCUUCAAAAGUGAAUCCUGACUGGGCAAAGGACCAAGAGAUUUAGCACAGGUUUUGUUGCAUGAGUGGUUUAAAUAAGGUUCAUCAUUCUUAAUGUUGAAUACAGUGGCCCAGUUUUCAGAACUGUUGUAUGCACACGUGUGGCAUUAUUUGCCUCAAUGGAGUUGCUUCCCUUGAAGCAAACUCUAUGUUUGUAUCAUUUUUUUUCUUAGUAUGCCAAGAAAAUGCCCUUCCCAUCUGUCCAGAAGCUUUAUGCAGCUCUCAUCCGCUGGCUACUCUAGCCCACAGUUCAGUGAUGCAUAAUUGAAUGGGAUUUUAGAGACGGAGAGUUCAAACCCCUUCUAGCAAACCGGCAGCACUGGAAUGAAGAGAUACCAUGCACCUCUUCCCCUGCACAGACAGAUGGGGGAAGGUAAAAUGAUGCCACAAUACAAGCUGAAUGCCAUUUAAAGAUUGGAGACAGCCAAAACAUCAGCAAAGCCUACUUUUAGGCUUCUUUGUGCCACUAGAAUUACUAAAAAAGCUGGACCACUGAGUAGCACAUAAUUCUCUGUAUUUAAACUGUGUAUAUCUUCUCCCUAAACCUCACAAUUUACCAUUAAGGAAAGAACAGACAAAUCUGCCAAAAGUUGAAGCAUGGCCCAGAACUGGAGUCUCUCUCACAUGCUGGGUACAUAGACAUUAUCGCUUUAACUGGCAGAUUUACUGUAUCCACCAUAUGCUCCACCAAACUUGUCCUUAACUUGUAAGUAUUCAAGUAAACCAUAUACAAUAUUCAUUUUUCUUUAUGCAGAUAUCUUGUUUUAGUGAUACCAGGCCACACAGAUUUGAAUAAACAUUGUGCAGUAGAUUCAUAAACUGGAAAAUGAUCUGCUUCACACAUGUACUGACUUCAGUAUUCUCCAACAGAAAAUACAGCCUAUACAUCCCACCUCUGUGCAAAAAUGUUUUAAGGGUAAUAAAAUUAAUACAACACUC